GUCGAGAAUAAUUCACAAUGGACGAAAGUCUGAUGGUGCAACGCCGCGUGGAGGAUGACGGUCUUCGGAUUGUAAACUCCUGUCAUCCGGGAGUAAGACCUGGCUGUGAAUAGCAGACAGGGUUGAUAGUACCGGAAGAGGAAGGGUCGGCUAACUUCGUGCCAGCAGCCGCGGUAAUACGAAGGUCCCGAGCGUUGUUCGGAAUCAUUGGGCGUAAAGGGAGCGUAGGCGGCGUGGUAAGUCAGAUGUGAAAUCCCGGGGCUCAACGCCGGAACUGCAUCCGAUACUGCCGUGCUAGAGGAUUGGAGAGGUAGCUGGAAUUCUUGGUGUAGCAGUGAAAUGCGUGGAGAUCAAGAGGAACACUCGUGGCGAAAGCGAGCUACUGGACAAUAUCUGACGCUGAGGCUCGAAGGCAAGGGUAGCGAAAGGGAUUAGAUACCCGAGUAGUCC
This 450-nucleotide ribosomal RNA is filed under the name uncultured bacterium. Its description in RNAcentral is "partial 16S ribosomal RNA". It matches the Rfam family "Bacterial small subunit ribosomal RNA", at positions 354 to 796 of the family's 1533-position model. The record is from RNAcentral.